Molecule: long non-coding RNA, 1174 nt
Filed under: Anas platyrhynchos platyrhynchos (common mallard)
Lineage: Eukaryota; Metazoa; Chordata; Aves; Anseriformes; Anatidae
Description: lncRNA (ENSAPLG00000018972.1)
Source: RNAcentral
UCAUGUAAGUGUUCAAGCCCAAGGAUGGACUCUCUUCUGAUCCUGAUACAGACAUGGACAAAGAUGCCAUAAAUCUGUUCAAAUAUGCCAGGAAAGGGAGGAACUUCAUUCUUGGACAGAAGUUAAUCUAAGAAAUCACACUCAUCAUUAGCUAGAAAAGAUCCUCUUUUUCGAAGCACUGAAUUCAUUUAUCACUAGGACUCCAAGAACAGACAGGCUUACCAGCUUUCUAAUCUCUCCUCUAGAUAAAGCAAACCAGAUGUCAAAAGUUUACUGCUGAAGCAGACUUCUGCAGAUAAACUGUGUCUGAAAAUCAUGUAUUCAGUGUGCUCAUAGCUGAAAGAAGACAUUAACCAAGUUUAGUGCAAGAGCAAGCUGUGCCUUCUUGAAGGCAGCAUAAUGAAUUAUUGGAACAAAACAUCAGCUACUGAGAUGUUUUCAUUACUGGAAGACUUGAAAGCAAUACAGGACAGCUUUCUGAAUAACCAUUACCUCAAACAAGGGUUCUGAAGUGAGUACAGAAGUUACUGAAUAAAAUUUUAUGUCACAUGAGAAGGAAAGAAAAUUCAAAGGUGGACAGGAAGAUGUCCCAGUAAGGAGGGGCAGAACCAUCUGGGUGCAUACUUCAGGAUCUCUUUUUUCUGAAAUCUUCCAGGUGAGCAGAUGACCAGUGUUGAUAUGCCCACAGGCAUUGACAUGCCUCAUUGCAGGUUUUUGAUUCUUCUGUGAUUUUCGGAUGUUGAUUUUCAGAACUUCAGUUCCAGCCAAGUUCUCUGAUGUCUGAAAUGCUGAAAAGUGUACUGGAGAGAGCAGAGGAUUUCCAGGGGUCUAAGAGGUUCAGUCUCUUGCCUCUGAAGAUCUGGUGCAGAUCCCAGCAAUGCUCCAGGGGUGGCUGCUCCACUCUGCUAUGGACCAUGCCCUAUGGUGUGUCCACUGUUGUUCAGUGGCCAGUUGUUCUCCUAAGAUGUUUCUGGGACACUUCUCUGUACAGGCUGUAGCAUCUUGUAGCCAAAACGCAGUUGGGGAGAAAGAACCCCAGGUAUGAGGUCAGGCACAUUUUGCCUGAAGCUAUUAUUACAUUAGUUGAAAGAAUACUUGCUAUUUAAAGAAAACAACAAGCAAACUGAAAAACAGACAAACAAACAAGAACAAUAAAAUAGAGAAAUCAAAGUCA